GCUGUGGCCGAGGGGUAGGGCACCUGCCUGGCAUGCAGAAGGCCCCGGGUUCAGUCCUUGAACCCUGGGCAGCUGCC
Podarcis lilfordi (Lilford's wall lizard) is the source of this 77-nucleotide non-coding RNA. NCBI's taxonomy places the organism in Eukaryota, Metazoa, Chordata, Lepidosauria, Squamata, Lacertidae. The record is from the annotation of a GenBank genome assembly.